RNAcentral lists this long non-coding RNA (937 nucleotides) under Bemisia tabaci. Its description in RNAcentral is "lncRNA ENSSSA1NGG005889". Lineage: Eukaryota; Metazoa; Arthropoda; Insecta; Hemiptera; Aleyrodidae. The record is from RNAcentral.
CGCACAGCGAAGUAAUUCGAGUGUGUGCGUCGGGUAGUCAUCGCAAAAAACUUUGUUGCCUCCGGGGGAGAGGUGGGCGCCGGCGCCGGGAACAGAUCAAAAUAAAAUAGGGAGCGCUCCCUAAGUAAAUACACCGAUGACAGCUCCGAAUGGCGGGACGCAAACACGUAGAACUUUAUGCUGAUUAAACUUUUACGGGUUCACUCCCGGAGUUACACCCGCUGCGCCUCCAAAUUCGGCCGGGGCGGCACCGACGUAUUACGCGCUUUUUAUUUCCGCGAACAUGUGAGGGUGAGGCUGUGUAUGUGUGUGUAUCUACAUUUUUCAACCACUCCUCCAGCGUGCGUCGCGGAUUCGGGGUUUUUCCGACUUUUGAUCCUCUCCACCAGAGCCUCCCGUAAUAUUUUUGUUCGUCCUUUGUUCAGUUUUUCUUCUCUCUCUUUUUCAUUUAAAUUAUUUUCGAGAAGGAAAUAUCCCUAUUCCAAAGGAACGGAUUAUGAAAGAUGUGUGGAAAAUGAGCGUCGCGUGUUUUACACGAUUUAUGAGUAUGAUCCCAUCCUUGAUUCCAGUAACAUGGGCAUGGAAAAUUGGGUUCAAAUUGCAAAUGAUGUACAGACGAGUUACGAGAGCUUCGAUGGGUUCGUUAUUCUACACGGCACGGGACACACUAUCAUACACUGCGUCUGCCUUAUCAUUCAUGCUGGAAAACCUUGGCAAACCUGUCAUUGUAACUGGAUCUCAGAUGCCCAUUUUUGAGCUAAGAAGUGACGGGAGCGAAAUUUCGCCUCGGCAGUUCUUUUAGCUGGCAAUUACGAUAUUCCUGAAGUUACCGAGUUCUUUCAUAAUCGGCUUUACCGCGGUAACCGAACCUUGAAAACCAGCACGGGUAGCUUCGAUGCGUUCCCUUUUUGCGCAGUUGUUGCGGCGUUCAUAAAAA